Molecule: ribosomal RNA, 301 nt
Filed under: uncultured bacterium
Lineage: Bacteria
Description: partial 16S ribosomal RNA
Rfam family: Bacterial small subunit ribosomal RNA
Source: RNAcentral
CAGUAGCCGCGGUAAUACGUAGGUGGCAAGCGUUGUCCGGAAUUAUUGGGCGUAAAGGGCUCGCAGGCGGUUUCUUAAGUCUGAUGUGAAAGCCCCCGGCUCAACCGGGGAGGGUCAUUGGAAACUGGGAAACUUGAGUGCAGAAGAGGAGAGUGGAAUUCCACGUGUAGCGGUGAAAUGCGUAGAGAUCGGAAGGAACGCCCGUGGCGAAAGCGCGGCCCUGGACUCUUUCUGACGCUGAGACGCGAAAGCUAGGGGAGCGAACGGGAUUAGAUACCCCGGUAGUCCCUGUCUCUUAUAA